Corythoichthys intestinalis (scribbled pipefish) is the source of this 1466-nucleotide long non-coding RNA. RefSeq lists it as uncharacterized. The record is from RefSeq and is a predicted model, not a curated record. The transcript is spliced from 2 exons. NCBI's taxonomy places the organism in Eukaryota, Metazoa, Chordata, Actinopteri, Syngnathiformes, Syngnathidae.
CUAUGUAUAUUGUCUUUAGGUUGCAUGUUUGAGACGGCCUCUUUUGUUGUUAGCAACAUUGUUACCGAUUUUAAAUCAUUUUUGGAAUCGGUUCUUGUCUCGUGACGUUUCUGGCGCAAUGCAUUGUGGGUUUUCGUGUAUUGCAGAACAACAACAAGCCCGCGACGUGAUCCUUUGCUAGGCGUCCGUUAUGCGUGGUAAUCGUUGAAAAUGGUACACUCGUGUUGUGUGAAAGACUGCCAUUCUAGGUCCCAUGAUAGAAACGAAUGCAAAAAGGAUGGGAUAGUUUUUUUUUUUUUUUAGCAUUCCCGCCUGGAAGAGAAGAUAUGGAACUCAGAUGAGUUGAAUAAGAGGCUUCGAAUGGUUACAGCGGUGAGAAGAAAGGCCAUCACUUUUUAUUCAUCAACUGAAAACAUGUCGGUCUGUACCCUACAUUUCCAUAAAGGAAAACCAGCAUAUGAAAUAAAUGAGGCAGACCCUGACUGGGCACCAUCCUUACGCCUGGGACACACAUGUGUUCAGCCCACCAACGUGGACCGCUCUUCUAGGCGAAGUAGGCGUGAGAAAUUGAGGAUGGAGGAAGACGUUGGUGAGCUACAGGAGGAGCUGUCAGUGCCCUUUAGAUGCUCCUUCUGACCUUCAUGCGCCUGCGUUUGGACCUGCCUACACUACACAUUGCACACAUAUUCCAUGUUUCCCGUAAGACUGUGUAUUGAGUGUUCAGUGGCAUGGUGCCCUUUUUACAUGCUAACUUGAGACGAGCAAUUGUUUGGCCCAACAGAGAAACACUCUAUAAAACAAUGCCUCACGAGUUUGUUGAGUCCUUCAGACGCAGAGUUGCAGUGAUUAUUGAGUUGUUGUUUUUUUUUUACAGAGAAGCCAUCAAAUCUUAAGGCGCGUGCGCAAAUGUUUUCUAGUUACAAGCAUAACUACACCAUGAAAUACCUAACUGGAAUCACACCAAAGGGGGGAAUUUGUUUGAUGUCAAAAGGUUGGGGUGGUCACACAAGGGACAAACAUAUCACCUUGAACAGUGCUUUUUUUAAUAACCUUUUGCCCCGGGACAUUGUCUUGACUGACAGAGGCUUUGAUAUUCAAGAACAUGUGGGUAUGUUAUGUACAGAGGUCAAACUCCCUGCGUUCACAAAAGGUCGCUGUCAGUUAGCUGGUAGAGAUGUGGAGGAGACUAGGAAGAUAGCACAUUUGAGGAUCCAUGUUGAACGGGUAAUUGGUCAUCUUUGCCAGAAGUAUAAGAUCCAACAGGAACUAUACCUAUUAACUUGGUUCUGCCAUGUGACGGCGAAGAUUGCACAUUGUUGGAUAAGAUUGUUUAUGUAUGCGGUGCCCUUACAAACCUUUGCCCAACUGUUGUGUAGUUUGUACUGUGAUACCAUUUACUAUGCUAACCGUUUCAGCCUUUCAAACUUGGCUGUUAUUGAUUGUAUUUAAUAAAACAUAUUAAGUCA